AACAAACGCUGGCGGCGUGCCUAAUACAUGCAAGUCGAACGGGGAAAGCUUUCGGGUGAGUACUAGUGGCGCACGGGUGAGGAACGCGUGGAUAAUCUGCCUUAGAGUGGGGGAUAACUAGUCGAAAGAUUAGCUAAUACCGCAUAAGACCACGAGAGCUGCGGCUUUUGAGGUCAAAGGUUUUUCGCUCUAAGAUGAGUCCGCGUAAGAUUGCUAGUUGGUGAGGUAACGGCUCACCAAGGCGACGAUCUUUAACUGGUCUGAGAGGAUGAUCAGUCACACUGGAACUGAGACACGGUCCAGACUCCUACGGGAGGCAGCAGUAGGGAAUAUUGCACAAUGGAGGAAACUCUGAUGCAGCGACGCCGCGUGAGUGAUGAAGGCCUUCGGGUCGUAAAGCUCUGUCGCAGGGGAAUAACACAAUGAAGGUACCCUGUAAGAAAGGAUCGGCUAACUUCGUG
RNAcentral lists this ribosomal RNA (461 nucleotides) under uncultured bacterium. RNAcentral's name for it is "partial 16S ribosomal RNA". It matches the Rfam family "Bacterial small subunit ribosomal RNA", at positions 29 to 507 of the family's 1533-position model. The record is from RNAcentral.